GACGGGUGAGUAACAUGUGGGUAUCUGCCCUUUGGCCUGGAAUAACACGAGGAAACUUGUGCUAAUACCAGAUAAGUCUUUACGGAGAAAGCUUUAUGCACCAUUGGAUGAGCCUGCACUUGAUUAGUUAGUUGGUGGGGUAAUGGCCUACCAAGACUUUGAUCAAUAGCUGAUUUGAGAGGAUGAUCAGCCACAUUGGGACUGAGACACGGCCCAAACUCCUACGGGAGGCAGCAGUGGGGAAUCUUGCACAAUGGAGGAAACUCUGAUGCAGCGAUGCCGCGUGAGUGAAGAAGGCCCUUGGGUUGUAAAGCUCUUUCGUCGGGGAAGAAAAUGACUGUACCCGAAUAAGAAGGUCCGGCUAACUUCGUGCCAGCAGCCGCGGUAAUACGAAGGGACCUAGCGUAGUUCGGAAUUACUGGGCUUAAAGAGUUCGUAGGCGGUUGAAAAAGUUGGUGGUGAAAUCCCAGAGCUUAACUCUGGAACUGCCAUCAAAACUUUUCAGCUAGAGUUUGAUAGAGGAAAGCAGAAUUUCUAGUGUAGAGGUGAAAUUCGUAGAUAUUAGAAAGAAUACCAAUUGCGAAGGCAGCUUUCUGGAUCAUUACUGACGCUGAGGAACGAAAGCAUGGGUAGCGAAGAGGAUUAGAUACCCUCGUAGUCCAUGCCGUAAACGAUGUGUGUUAGGCGUUGGA
Molecule: ribosomal RNA, 692 nt
Filed under: uncultured bacterium
Lineage: Bacteria
Description: bacterial SSU rRNA
Rfam family: Bacterial small subunit ribosomal RNA
Source: RNAcentral